Molecule: ribosomal RNA, 358 nt
Filed under: Klebsiella pneumoniae
Lineage: Bacteria; Pseudomonadati; Pseudomonadota; Gammaproteobacteria; Enterobacterales; Enterobacteriaceae
Description: bacterial LSU rRNA
Rfam family: Bacterial large subunit ribosomal RNA
Source: RNAcentral
CCGAAAGGCGUAGUCGAUGGGAAACAGGUUAAUAUUCCUGUACUUGGUGUUACUGCGAAGGGGGGACGGAGAAGGCUAUGUUAGCCGGGCGACGGUUGUCCCGGUUUAAGCAUGUAGGCUGGUUGUCCAGGCAAAUCCGGAUAAUCAAGGCUGAGGUGUGAUGACGAGGCACUACGGUGCUGAAGUAACAAAUGCCCUGCUUCCAGGAAAAGCCUCUAAGCAUCAGGUAACAUUAAAUCGUACCCCAAACCGACACAGGUGGUCAGGUAGAGAAUACCAAGGCGCUUGAGAGAACUCGGGUGAAGGAACUAGGCAAAAUGGUGCCGUAACUUCGGGAGAAGGCACGCUGGUGUGUAGG